GACAAUAUGUCAGAUGGUAUGAGUUGGAUUUAAGUUUCAAAUAUUAGGUUGUUU
This 54-nucleotide transfer RNA is filed under the name Paratenuisentis ambiguus. RNAcentral's name for it is "transfer RNA-Leu". The record is from RNAcentral. Lineage: Eukaryota; Metazoa; Acanthocephala; Eoacanthocephala; Neoechinorhynchida; Tenuisentidae.